RNAcentral lists this long non-coding RNA (220 nucleotides) under Vigna radiata. RNAcentral's name for it is "long non-coding RNA (VRAD_LNC016570)". The record is from RNAcentral. Lineage: Eukaryota; Viridiplantae; Streptophyta; Magnoliopsida; Fabales; Fabaceae.
GAGGAGUUGACAUGGAAAAUGUCACUGAGGGAAACCGUCGGGCGCCAGCGAUUGCCGCCGGGCGGCGGCAGAAGGAUAUGGGAAACCGCCGGGCGGUGGCGAUUGCCGCCGAGCGGUGGCGGCAGGUUAUGGGAAACCGCCAGGUGGCACACUUAAACCGCCCGGCGGUGGCUCGCUGGACUUGGGCUUGAUUUCGACGCGCUCCUCACUUAUAUAUACC